AUUGAACGCUGGCGGCAUGCCUUACACAUGCAAGUCGAACGGUAACAGGUCUUCGGAUGCUGACGAGUGGCGAACGGGUGAGUAAUACAUCGGAACGUGCCCGAUCGUGGGGGAUAACGAAGCGAAAGCUUUGCUAAUACCGCAUAAGAUCUACGGAAGAAAGCAGGGGACCGCAAGGCCUUGCGGGAACGGAGCGGCCGAUGGGAGAUUAGGUAGUUGGUGGGAUAAAAGCUUACCAAGCCGACGAUCUGUAGCUGGUCCGAGAGGACGACCAGCCACACUGGGACUGAGACACGGCCCAGACUCCUACGGGAGGCAGCAGUGGGGAAUUUUGGACAAUGGGCGAAAGCCUGAUCCAGCCAUGCCGCGUGCAGGAUGAAGGCCUUCGGGUUGUAAACUGCUUUUGUACGGAACGAAAAGACUCUUUCUAAUAAAGAGGGUCCAUGACGGUACCGUAAGAAUAAGCACCGGCUAACUACGUGCCAGCCGCCGCAGUAA
RNAcentral lists this ribosomal RNA (498 nucleotides) under uncultured bacterium. RNAcentral describes it as "partial 16S ribosomal RNA". It matches the Rfam family "Bacterial small subunit ribosomal RNA", at positions 30 to 523 of the family's 1533-position model. The record is from RNAcentral.